Molecule: non-coding RNA, 112 nt
Organism: Acanthosepion pharaonis
Lineage: Eukaryota; Metazoa; Mollusca; Cephalopoda; Sepiida; Sepiidae
Source: the annotation of a GenBank genome assembly
ACAGCCUUAUCGUGUUGAAACACUAGUUCUCAUAUGAUCACCAAAGUUAAGCAAUGUUGAGCUUGGUCAGUACCUAGAUGGGUGACCACCUGAAAAUACCAGGUGCUGUAAG